Molecule: ribosomal RNA, 440 nt
Filed under: uncultured bacterium
Lineage: Bacteria
Description: partial 16S ribosomal RNA
Rfam family: Bacterial small subunit ribosomal RNA
Source: RNAcentral
CCUACGGGAUGCAGCAGUAGGGAAUAUUGCUCAAUGGGGGAAACCCUGAAGCAGCAACGCCGCGUGGAGGAUGAAGGUUUUAGGAUUGUAAACUCCUUUUGUGAGAGAAGAUAAUGACGGUAUCUCACGAAUAAACACCGGCUAACUCCGUGCCAGCAGCAGCGGUAAUACGGAGGGUGCAAGCGUUACUCGGAAUCACUGGGCGUAAAGAGUGCGCAGGCGGGCUUGUAAGUCAGAUGUGAAAUCCUGUAGCUUAACUACAGAACUGCAUUUGAAACUAUGAGUCUAGAGUGUGGGAGAGGUAGGUGGAAUUCUUGGUGUAGGGGUAAAAUGCGUAGAUAUCAAGAGGAAUACUCAUUGCGAAGGCGACCUACUGGAACAUUACUGACGCUCAUGCACGAAAGCGUGGGGAGCAAACAGGAUUAGAUACCCGAGUAGUC